UAUUUAUUUUAUUAUAUUUAUUUUUUGUUUAUUUAAUUAUUUAAUAAAAAUAAUUUUGUUGAAUUUUGUCUUAGCAUAUUUUGUAGAAUUGAUUUUUUAUAUUAUAGUUUAUUGGUAAUGUAAUUGUUUUAUGAAAUAUUAUUUUAAAUUUUUAAAAGUAGAUUUUAUUUAUUGUACCUUUUGUAUCAGGGUUUAUCAAAAUUUUAGUAUUUACUUUACUUGUCUCGAUUUGGGUUGAUUUAUAAAUAAUUUAUAGUGAAUGUAUCAUAAUUCUUAUUAAAUUAUUUAUAGAAAUGAGAUGUUAACCGUUUCCCAAGAUAUCUAGUUUCUUAAGAAAAAAUUUAAUUUUUUAAAGUUAAUUGUUUUUAUUUAAUUUUUUAAGUAUAAAUAUUAACUUAUUUAUUCUUUAAGGGAUAAGCUUUGAAGUUAAUACCCUAUAAUUUGUUUUAAUAAAAUAUAAUAGUAAGCUUUAAACCAGCUCUCUUUAAGAUUACGUUUUAGUUCAUUAUUUUUAUUUUUGAUUUUAUAACUAUUUUAGGUUUUUUAUUAAGAUUAUAAAUUUAAUUUUUCAAAUUUUGUAAUAAUGAUAGAAUUAGUAUAUUUAUUUGUAUAUAAUUUUUACCUUGUUAAUUUAUUAUAAGGAACUAGGC
Molecule: ribosomal RNA, 650 nt
Filed under: Schistocerca piceifrons peruviana
Lineage: Eukaryota; Metazoa; Arthropoda; Insecta; Orthoptera; Acrididae
Description: partial 16S ribosomal RNA
Source: RNAcentral